CGAGUGGCGAACGGGCGAGUAAUAUAUCGGAACGUGCCCAGUAAUGGGGGAUAGCCCGGCGAAAGCCGGAUUAAUACCGCAUACGACCUACGGGUGAAAGCGGGGGAUCGCAAGACCUCGCGUUAUUGGAGCGGCCGAUAUCAGAUUAGGUAGUUGGUGGGGUAAAGGCCUACCAAGCCUGCGAUCUGUAGUUGGUCUGAGAGGACGACCAGCCACACUGGGACUGAGACACGGCCCAG
RNAcentral lists this ribosomal RNA (239 nucleotides) under uncultured Burkholderiales bacterium. Its description in RNAcentral is "partial 16S ribosomal RNA". It matches the Rfam family "Bacterial small subunit ribosomal RNA", at positions 92 to 334 of the family's 1533-position model. The record is from RNAcentral. Lineage: Bacteria; Pseudomonadati; Pseudomonadota; Betaproteobacteria; Burkholderiales.